RNAcentral lists this ribosomal RNA (460 nucleotides) under uncultured bacterium. RNAcentral's name for it is "partial 16S ribosomal RNA". It matches the Rfam family "Bacterial small subunit ribosomal RNA", at positions 338 to 795 of the family's 1533-position model. The record is from RNAcentral.
CCUACGGGUGGCAGCAGUGAGGAAUAUUGGUCAAUGGGCGUAAGCCUGAACCAGCCAAGUCGCGUGAGGGAUGAAGGUUCUAUGGAUCGUAAACCUCUUUUAUACGGGGAUAAAGGCAGAGACGUGUCCCGGUUUGUAUGUACCUUAUGAAUAAGGAUCGGCUAACUCCGUGCCAGCAGCCGCGGUAAUACGGAGGAUCCGAGCGUUAUCCGGAUUUAUUGGGUUUAAAGGGUGCGUAGGCGGCCUUUUAAGUCAGCGGUGAAAGUCUGUGGCUCAACCACAGAAUUGCCGUUGACACUGGUCGGCUAGAGAAUGUUUGAGGUAGGCGGAAUGUGUGGUGUAGCGGUGAAAUGCUUAGAUAUCACGCAGAACACCGAUUGCGAAGGCAGCCUGCCAAGCCACGACUGACGCUGAUGCACGAAAGCGUGGGGAUCAAACAGGAUUAGAUACCCCUGUAGUC